AUGGAUCUCCCAGACCUCAACUUCACUCCACCUGCAGAAGAUUUGGACAAAAUGGAUGAAGAUGCAGAAAAUGAAAUGGAAGGAGAUGCAAAAGAUGGAAUGGAAGGAGAUGAAAUUGUUCAAAAUCCAGGUGUUGGGCAAGUUGGUAGAAAAAAUAAAACCCUCAAUGACCAGCAAAAAUUUGCUGCUUAUGUAGCAUUGCAUACACUGUGUAUGAGUAGAGGAGGCACUUUUAAGAGAACUGAUACGCAAGACAUUGCAAAAAUUUUUGGAGUGGGUGUUUGGAAUAUACAAAGAAUUUGGAGGAAAGCAAUGUUGCAAAUUCAACAAGGUUUAACAUGA
RNAcentral lists this ribosomal RNA (342 nucleotides) under Triticum aestivum (bread wheat). Its description in RNAcentral is "partial small subunit ribosomal RNA". Lineage: Eukaryota; Viridiplantae; Streptophyta; Magnoliopsida; Poales; Poaceae. The record is from RNAcentral.